GGCGAACGGGUGAGUAACACGUGGGCAAUCUGCCCUUCACUCUGGGACAAGCCCUGGAAACGGGGUCUAAUACCGGAUAACACCGGCUUCCGCAUGGAAGCUGGUUGAAAGCUCCGGCGGUGAAGGAUGAGCCCGCGGCCUAUCAGCUUGUUGGUGGGGUAAUGGCCCACCAAGGCGACGACGGGUAGCCGGCCUGAGAGGGCGACCGGCCACACUGGGACUGAGACACGGCCCAGACUCCUACGGGAGGCAGCAGUGGGGAAUAUUGCACAAUGGGCGAAAGCCUGAUGCAGCGACGCCGCGUGAGGGAUGUCGGCCUUCGGGUUGUAAACCUCUUUCAGCAGGGAAGAAGCGAAAGUGACGGUACCUGCAGAAGAAGCGCCGGCUAACUACGUGCCAGCAGCCGCGGUAAUACGUAGGGCGCAAGCGUUGUCCGGAAUUAUUGGGCGUAAAGAGCUCGUAGGCGGCUUGUCGCGUCGGGUGUGAAAGCCCGGGGCUUAACCCCGGGUCUGCAUCCGAUACGGGCAGGCUAGAGUGUGGUAGGGGAGAUCGGAAUUCCUGGUGUAGCGGUGAAAUGCGCAGAUAUCAGGAGGAACACCGGUGGCGAAGGCGGAUCUCUGGGCCAUUACUGACGCUGAGGAGCGAAAGCGUGGGGAGCGAACAGGAUUAGAUACCCUGGUAGUCC
Molecule: ribosomal RNA, 685 nt
Filed under: uncultured bacterium
Lineage: Bacteria
Description: bacterial SSU rRNA
Rfam family: Bacterial small subunit ribosomal RNA
Source: RNAcentral